GAUGAACGCUGGCGGCGUGCCUAACACAUGCAAGUCGAACGGGGAUCUUCGGAUUCUAGUGGCGGACGGGUGAGUAACGCGUAAGAAUCUAACUUCAGGACGGGGACAACAGUUGGAAACGACUGCUAAUACCCGAUAUGCCGCGAGGUGAAACCUAAUUGGCCUGAAGAAGAGCUUGCGUCUGAUUAGCUAGUUGGUGGGGUAAGAGCCUACCAAGGCGACGAUCAGUAGCUGGUCUGAGAGGAUGAGCAGCCACACUGGGACUGAGACACGGCCCAGACUCCUACGGGAGGCAGCAGUGGGGAAUUUUUCCGCAAUGGGCGAAAGCCUGACGGAGCAACGCCGCGUGAGGGAGGAAGGUCUUUGGAUUGUAAACCUCUUUUUCUCAAGGAAGACACAGGACGGUACUUGAGGAAUAAGCAUCGGCUAACUCUGUGCCAGCAGCCGCGGUAAU
This 454-nucleotide ribosomal RNA is filed under the name uncultured cyanobacterium. Its description in RNAcentral is "bacterial SSU rRNA". It matches the Rfam family "Bacterial small subunit ribosomal RNA", at positions 28 to 524 of the family's 1533-position model. The record is from RNAcentral. Lineage: Bacteria; Bacillati; Cyanobacteriota.